AGUGAGUGUGCAGGCGUUGCCUAGUCUUGUCGAAGCCCACGUCUUCUGGUGCGGUAUGGCCUCUGUCCUCGGUCCUUGUUCUCCUGGUCAGGCCACUCCGUCGUAGCGAGUAUGUUUACGGUGGCAUUGUGCAAGGCAUGCGUAGGACGUGGCGCAGUAUGGUUCUGCAUACGGUCGGUUGACCCAGGCGUUUCCUCGUUAUCCGUCCCACCUGCUCCCUAGACCCACACCGAGCGGGCGCCCCCGGUCGGUUGUCCCAGUCGGCCCCGACCGAGUUGGUCAGGGGGAGUGGUAUGGGCGGUACGGUGCAUCCCCAGUCGGGAGGACUCGGUCGGGAGGACCCGAUUGGGAGAACUUAGUCGGGAGAACUCAGUCGGGGUCGGACUGUGGCCCCACCUCUGACUGGCUCCUUCCUGUCAGGGUGUCGACUAGGCUUCCCGGUCAGAGGACCAGAGGAAUCGGCCGGUGGCUAGAUCGGGGCCUUGGC
Molecule: long non-coding RNA, 487 nt
Filed under: Setaria viridis
Lineage: Eukaryota; Viridiplantae; Streptophyta; Magnoliopsida; Poales; Poaceae
Description: long non-coding RNA (SVIR_LNC008434)
Source: RNAcentral